UUAAGCGACUAAGCGUACACGGUGGAUGCCCUGGCAGUCAGAGGCGAUGAAGGACGUGCUAAUCUGCGAAAAGCGUCGGUAAGGUGAUAUGAACCGUUAUAACCGGCGAUGUCCGAAUGGGGAAACCCAGUGCAAUUCGUUGCACUAUCGUUAACUGAAUACAUAGGUUAACGAGGCGAACCGGGGGAACUGAAACAUCUAAGUACCCCGAGGAAAAGAAAUCAACCGAGAUUCCCCCAGUAGCGGCGAGCGAACGGGGAGCAGCCCAGAGUCUGAAUCAGCUUGUGUGUUAGUGGAACGGUCUGGAAAGUCCGACGGUACAGGGUGAUAGUCCCGUACACCAAAAUGCACAGGUUGUGAACUCGAAGAGUAGGGCGGGACACGUGGUAUCCUGUCUGAAUAUGGGGGGACCAUCCUCCAAGGCUAAAUACUCCUGACUGACCGAUAGUGAACCAGUACCGUGAGGGAAAGGCGAAAAGAACCCCGGCGAGGGGAGUGAAAAAGAACCUGAAACCGUGUACGUACAAGCAGUGGGAGCACCUUCGGGUGUGACUGCGUACCUUUUGUAUAAUGGGUCAGCGACUUAUAUUCUGUAGCAAGGUUAACCGUAUAGGGGAGCCGCAGGGAAACCGAGUCUUAACUGGGCGUUAAGUUGCAGGGUAUAGACCCGAAACCCGGUGAUCUAGCCAUGGGCAGGUUGAAGGUUGGGUAACACUAACUGGAGGACCGAACCGACUAAUGUUGAAAAAUUAGCGGAUGACUUGUGGCUGGGGGUGAAAGGCCAAUCAAACCGGGAGAUAGCUGGUUCUCCCCGAAAGCUAUUUAGGUAGCGCCUCGUGAAUUCAUCUUCGGGGGUAGAGCACUGUUUCGGCUAGGGGGUCAUCCCGACUUACCAACCCGAUGCAAACUACGAAUACCGAAGAAUGUUAUCACGGGAGACACACGGCGGGUGCUAACGUCCGUCGUGAAGAGGGAAACAACCCAGACCGCCAGCUAAGGUCCCAAAGUCAUGGUUAAGUGGGAAACGAUGUGGGAAGGCACAGACAGCCAGGAUGUUGGCUUAGAAGCAGCCAUCAUUUAAAGAAAGCGUAAUAGCUCACUGGUCGAGUCGGCCUGCGCGGAAGAUGUAACGGGGCUAAACCAUGCACCGAAGCUGCGGCAGCGACACUAUGUGUUGUUGGGUAGGGGAGCGUUCUGUAAGCCUGCGAAGGUGGCCUGUGAGGGUUGCUGGAGGUAUCAGAAGUGCGAAUGCUGACAUAAGUAACGAUAAAGCGGGUGAAAAGCCCGCUCGCCGGAAGACCAAGGGUUCCUGUCCAACGUUAAUCGGGGCAGGGUGAGUCGACCCCUAAGGCGAGGCCGAAAGGCGUAGUCGAUGGGAAACAGGUUAAUAUUCCUGUACUUGGUGUUACUGCGAAGGGGGGACGGAGAAGGCUAUGUUAGCCGGGCGACGGUUGUCCCGGUUUAAGCAUGUAGGCUGGUUAUCCAGGCAAAUCCGGAUAAUCAAGGCUGAGGUGUGAUGACGAGGCACUACGGUGCUGAAGUAACAAAUGCCCUGCUUCCAGGAAAAGCCUCUAAGCAUCAGGUAACAUUAAAUCGUACCCCAAACCGACACAGGUGGUCAGGUAGAGAAUACCAAGGCGCUUGAGAGAACUCGGGUGAAGGAACUAGGCAAAAUGGUGCCGUAACUUCGGGAGAAGGCACGCUGGUGUGUAGGUGAAGUCCCUGCGGAUGGAGCUGAGACCAGUCGAAGAUACCAGCUGGCUGCAACUGUUUAUUAAAAACACAGCACUGUGCAAACACGAAAGUGGACGUAUACGGUGUGACGCCUGCCCGGUGCCGGAAGGUUAAUUGAUGGGGUUAUCCGUAAGGAGAAGCUCUUGAUCGAAGCCCCGGUAAACGGCGGCCGUAACUAUAACGGUCCUAAGGUAGCGAAAUUCCUUGUCGGGUAAGUUCCGACCUGCACGAAUGGCGUAAUGAUGGCCAGGCUGUCUCCACCCGAGACUCAGUGAAAUUGAACUCGCUGUGAAGAUGCAGUGUACCCGCGGCAAGACGGAAAGACCCCGUGAACCUUUACUAUAGCUUGACACUGAACAUUGAGCCUUGAUGUGUAGGAUAGGUGGGAGGCUUUGAAGCGUGGACGCCAGUCUGCGUGGAGCCAACCUUGAAAUACCACCCUUUAAUGUUUGAUGUUCUAACGUUGGCCCCUGACCGGGGUUGCGGACAGUGUCUGGUGGGUAGUUUGACUGGGGCGGUCUCCUCCCAAAGCGUAACGGAGGAGCACGAAGGUUAGCUAAUCCUGGUCGGACAUCAGGAGGUUAGUGCAAUGGCAUAAGCUAGCUUGACUGCGAGCGUGACGGCGCGAGCAGGUGCGAAAGCAGGUCAUAGUGAUCCGGUGGUUCUGAAUGGAAGGGCCAUCGCUCAACGGAUAAAAGGUACUCCGGGGAUAACAGGCUGAUACCGCCCAAGAGUUCAUAUCGACGGCGGUGUUUGGCACCUCGAUGUCGGCUCAUCACAUCCUGGGGCUGAAGUAGGUCCCAAGGGUAUGGCUGUUCGCCAUUUAAAGUGGUACGCGAGCUGGGUUUAGAACGUCGUGAGACAGUUCGGUCCCUAUCUGCCGUGGGCGCUGGAGAAUUGAGGGGGGCUGCUCCUAGUACGAGAGGACCGGAGUGGACGCAUCACUGGUGUUCGGGUUGUCAUGCCAAUGGCACUGCCCGGUAGCUAAAUGCGGAAGAGAUAAGUGCUGAAAGCAUCUAAGCACGAAACUUGCCCCGAGAUGAGUUCUCCCUGAGACUUUAAGUCUCCUGAAGGAACGUUGAAGACGAUGACGUUGAUAGGCCGGGUGUGUAAGCGCAGCGAUGCGUUGAGCUAACCGGUACUAAUGAACCGUGAGGCUUAACCUU
This 2900-nucleotide ribosomal RNA is filed under the name Klebsiella pneumoniae. RNAcentral's name for it is "bacterial LSU rRNA". It matches the Rfam family "Bacterial large subunit ribosomal RNA". Lineage: Bacteria; Pseudomonadati; Pseudomonadota; Gammaproteobacteria; Enterobacterales; Enterobacteriaceae. The record is from RNAcentral.